This 478-nucleotide ribosomal RNA is filed under the name uncultured Pseudomonadota bacterium. RNAcentral describes it as "bacterial SSU rRNA". It matches the Rfam family "Bacterial small subunit ribosomal RNA", at positions 8 to 522 of the family's 1533-position model. The record is from RNAcentral. Lineage: Bacteria; Pseudomonadati; Pseudomonadota.
AGAGUUUGAUCCUGGCUCAGAACGAACGCUGGCGGCAGGCCUAACACAUGCAAGUCGAACGAGAAGCCGCCUUCGGGUGGUGGACAGUGGCAGACGGGUGAGUAACGCGUGGGAACGUGCCUUUCGGUUCGGAAUAACCCAGGGAAACUUGGGCUAAUACCGGAUACGCCCUUCGGGGGAAAGAUUCAUUGCCGAAAGAGCGGCCCGCGUCGGAUUAGCUAGUUGGUGGGGUAAUGGCUCACCAAGGCGACGAUCCGUAGCUGGUCUGAGAGGAUGACCAGCCACACUGGGACUGAGACACGGCCCAGACUCCUACGGGAGGCAGCAGUGGGGAAUAUUGGACAAUGGGCGAAAGCCUGAUCCAGCCAUGCCGCGUGGGUGAAGAAGGCCUUAGGGUUGUAAACCCCUUUCAGCGGGGAAGAUAAUGACGGUACCCGCAGAAGAAGUACCGGCUAACUCCGUGCCAGCAGCCGCGGUA